This 63-nucleotide transfer RNA is filed under the name Eupolyphaga sinensis. RNAcentral describes it as "tRNA-Gly". Lineage: Eukaryota; Metazoa; Arthropoda; Insecta; Blattodea; Corydiidae. The record is from RNAcentral.
AUUUAUCUAAUAUAAAAAGUAUAUUUGACUUCCAAUCAAAAAGUUUGAAAUACAAGAUAAAUA